This 348-nucleotide ribosomal RNA is filed under the name uncultured eukaryote. RNAcentral's name for it is "SSU rRNA". It matches the Rfam family "Eukaryotic small subunit ribosomal RNA", at positions 594 to 945 of the family's 1831-position model. The record is from RNAcentral.
AUAGCGUAUAUUAAAGUUGUUGCAGUUAAAACGCUCGUAGUUGAACUUCAGACCUGGCUGGGCGGUCCGCCUUCUUGGUGUGUACUUACUCAACGGGGACUUACCUCCUGGUGAGCUGCAAUGUCCUUUACUGGGUGUUGUAGGGAACCAGGACGUUUACUUUGAAAAAAUUAGAGUGUUCAAAGCAGGCCUACGCCCGAAUACAUUAGCAUGGAAUAAUAGAAUAGGACGCGCGUUCCCAUUUUGUUGGUUUCUGAGAUCGCCGUAAUGAUUAAUAGGGAUAGUUGGGGGCAUUCGUAUUCCGUCGUCAGAGGUGAAAUUCUUGGAUUGCCGGAAGACGAACUUCUG